RNAcentral lists this ribosomal RNA (490 nucleotides) under uncultured bacterium. Its description in RNAcentral is "partial 16S ribosomal RNA". It matches the Rfam family "Bacterial small subunit ribosomal RNA", at positions 29 to 507 of the family's 1533-position model. The record is from RNAcentral.
AAUGAACGCUGGCGGCAUGCCUUACACAUGCAAGUCGAACGGCAGCAUGACCUAGCUUGCUAGGUUGAUGGCGAGUGGCGAACGGGUGAGUAAUGCAUCGGAACGUGCCUUUUAGUGGGGGAUAACGUAGCGAAAGUUACGCUAAUACCGCAUAUUCUCUGAGGAGGAAAGCAGGGGACCUUCGGGCCUUGCGCUAGAAGAGCGGCCGAUGUCGGAUUAGCUAGUUGGUGAGGUAAAGGCUCACCAAGGCAACGAUCCGUAGCGGGUCUGAGAGGAUGAUCCGCCACACUGGGACUGAGACACGGCCCAGACUCCUACGGGAGGCAGCAGUGGGGAAUUUUGGACAAAGGGCGCAAGCCUGAUCCAGCCAUGCCGCGUGAGUGAAGAAGGCCUUCGGGUUGUAAAGCUCUUUCGGCUGGGAAGAAAUCGCACCCUCUAAUACAGGGUGUGGAUGACGGUACCAGCAGAAGAAGCACCGGCUAACUACGUG